CAUCGGACGCGUCUGAGAUGAAUUAUGGCGGAGGAUAAAUAACGGAUAGUUCGCGGCGCUCCGAGGAUACAUCCCGAUUCGGCUCUAACCGGUCGCAUUGGAUUCGCGUUCGGCCUCGUAAAUUUUUAUCGCAAGGCUCUCCGUAUUUAUGUACACGUCCCGCGUACUUAUUUAUAGAUAGCGCGCGCGAUCGCGAGCUAACGAAGAGGAGCUGCGCCGGCCAAGACGAAUGUCUCGAGAUGCGCGUUGGCUCUUGUUUAUGAUUUAUCGCCGAGGACGCCAAGGCAAUCGCGGCGACCUCGUCGGGCGGACAAUAAAGAAGCCGGCAUUUUUACGAGCACGUAUCCGGGCUGCGCAGCUCCCUGUUCGCAUCUACAAGCGACAAGCGGAGCGAAUCGAGUCCGGAGUAAUCUGCAGCAGAAACAGGAGGCGGAGCGCGCGAGAUUACCGGCGUUCGAGCUCCGCAUCCUGCUCGUUUUAAGGAUCAUUCGUCGCGGCUCGCCGUCGAUUGCGAGCCGUGCGGCCGGCCGACGACAUCAGAUCCGAGCCACGCGCCGAGAUGGUACAGCGGCUGGGCUCUCGGUUUAGCGCGUACCUGUCAACGAGGCUACAGAGCGGAAUCGAGCCGCUAUACAUAGGUAUAGCUAUGCGUAGGCUAGCUGGCGCGCGGGGAAUAUGUUUGCUGCAGCGGCGGGCUUGUGUACACGCGCCGGGUCGAGAGAUACAGGGGGCUACAGAGCUACGGGCCUUGACGAGCUUGCGGCGAUACCUACGCUACCCAAGGCAGAUGGCAUUCCGAAUUUCGCCGUAGCGCGGCGACAACGACUUACUUGCUCAGUUCUCUAAAGCGCUUUGUUCUCCUUUUUCGGAAAUUGCAACUGGGCGAGUGGGAGGAACGCGAGCGAAUUUCCCGCGAAUUUCCCGCGAAUUUCCGCGGCCGCCAGAGGUUCGUCCCGUCGUACUCGCCCCAUAGAUUUUCAUGGCAAACAAUAAAGCGUUUAAUGCCGACUCGGAAGAAGCGAUCGUGAAGCCGGGAUCGAGCGUAAGCCCUCGGCGGCAGUAACGCGAGCCACUUUCACGAGCGGCCGCAUAUGAGCUAGACCGCAGAGCAAAAACCCCCGCGUAAAGUCAACUCAAGUCCGUCCGCGCAGUUUGCAAUUGGCGCAUAGGCACGCAUCGGCGCGCGCGGGCCUGCUUUUUCAAAUUGCCGAGAGUGCGGCCGCGCUGCUGGCAUAAUCGAUGAAACUCGACGAGAAGCGUUGCGCCCGUUGCCUGGAGAAAAAACGCAGCCGGCUCUGAAAAUGCAAUGGCGAAUUCCCGGACUAAUAUUGCGUGGCAGUCGGCCGAAGUACAAGCUUAACCGGCGAGUUAUACCAGCGCGCUCGCCAACAGACGCCAACAGACGCCAACAGACGCCGAGAGGGAGAGAGAGGCCGAGCGAGAAGAGUUAAGGGGUUAAUGUUAAGGCAAGACGGGGAGGAUCUUAAUCUCGUUGCCGAGGCCGCGCCUCGCGGAUUUUCCACCUGGCACUUCCUGCCCAGGGGUGUAAUUUCAGUAAUUUAAUUCGCCGGCUUAAUGGAGGAGAGACCGCGCGCGGCGAGAGCGGGGGCGAGGGAGAAAAUCGCCCGCAGCUCGUGUAAUAGUUGCAGCGGGUCGAGAAGAAUAAGUGAGGCGAGAUUGAAGCUGCGGACACGCGACUGUUUGAAUUUGCGCUCCGGGAGGCAAUACUUUUUAAUCACGAUGCGCCGCGCUGGAAAAGCUUUCGAAGAGGACUGAGAUAACUUGUUGAGUCGCGGCUCAUCGAAGCCUGCGAAAAACUCACCGCAAAAUGUAGGCGCGCAGGGGAACGCCGUGACUCCAAAGAGCCCGCACUGAAUUAUUGAGGCCAUCAUCCGCCCUCCAUCCCUCUCGAGUCUGCACACGCGCACACUUUAGCCGGCAUCUCAUAAAUCCUCGGCUACGUAACCUACGGCCCCUUUCAUUCGACGACGCGCGAAGCCCUCUCGUUGCCUCUCGUCGUUCGCGCGGGCGCGCGCGCGCUUUUUCAGAGUCGCGCGCGCGCGCGCUUCUGCCUCAUUCGCUCCCCGAACGACGCCGCCACCGACGACAUUAUCGAGGACGUCGCUCGGCGGGAUGUGGGUUAAAGAAGAGGAGCGCGCCUGGAUUUUCCGGGCUGUCGGCGCUUUGAUAACGAAACGCCCCCGCAUCGAGGAAAUUGAAUGCGAUAACGACGAGCUGAGAGCGGAAGCUGCCGCGACAAAGAGCUCGAGGCUGCGGCGGCGCGUGUUUGCAUCGAGAAUACGAGACGCGAGACGGGCUAAUAACCGAGCGCGAACUAGAUCGGCUGAUUUUUUCGGCACUCUUUUCAUUUCCGGCCCCGCAUUCGUCCCAUUCCGCGGCGAUUUAAGUUCUCCGCUCGCGCUCAUCUGCUUGUUUAAGUAACCAGCCGGCUUCGGAGUCGGCGGAGGAGCGCAUUUCAAUAAAAGGUACACAUUAUUAAUGCCAUUCCGAGUUCCGAAUUGCCAGUUCUCAACUAUUUAAUAUUUAACGAAGGGAUCGCCCCGCCGGAGCAUAUUCAAAAGAGCUGCAGCGGGGGCAAAUUACUUUGAUUGCUCGGCGCGGAACUUGCAGCCCCGAGAGCCAAUGACAGAUAUAAAUACUCGGCUUUUAAUCAAGUCUCGACGACGGCGAAAUCAACUUUCCGACGACUUUAACCGCGCUGAAUUAUGGCUCCUCAAAAAUUAACGCAGGACGACUCGGAAUUCUCCGCGCUGAACUUCCUUCGCAGCCACUUUCUGCACUGAAUAUUUCAUUGUGUAUCCCCGGCGCGCGAGUCUACGAACACUUGAUAAACAGCCGCGCGGAGCGCCGUAUGCAAAUUGCCUAUUUUCCAGCCUGCAGCAGUCGCGCUCUCUCUCUCUCUCUCUCUCUCUCUCUCUCUCAAAGGCGGUCAAUGGAUUAUCCGUAUGCGGAGGACACUUUAAUGCAGCUCGAAACGAGGUUCGACUAAGUGCAACUUUUCUACCGCAUAAUCAUCGAGAGUGCAUGGGGCGGGCAAAGGAGAGGGCAAAGCUUCGUUAGUAUCUCUUCAUCUCGUGCCGCCCUCGCCCUACCUCUCGCUCUUCCCCCGCCGCGUCGCGCAACACAAUUUCCCGUACUAAUUACUCUGCCGGCGAGGGCGGUCAUUCUCACUUUGCCGCCGCGACAAAGAAGAGCCGGAUCGCGCAUGACGAGAUACCCGCAGCCGGCCCGCUGCGGCUUGCUUCACGGCUCCAUAGCGUGAAAUGUCGGCUAAUAGAGCGGCCCGAGGACGGCCUUGAAAGACGCGAUAAAAAUCGAUAAAAUGAUCCUCGGCUAGUCCGCAGCGCUAAGCUAGGCAUUAGGCCGCCGCACGUGCGGCGUGCGGGAGCGCUGAGCCCCGGCACUUUAACGGCCCUGCGGGGCUCGGCCGGUCGAGCGCGAUUCCGGGCUAUCGAGAUCUCGCGCCGCUUCUUUCCAGCCGCCGAUAAAGCGAUCGACAGCUCCGCGUCAAAGGCGAGCGAUACCCCGAAGCGCUAAUAUCCCGCACUCGCUGCGCGUCAAACGCAUAAGCCCUUAAUUGAAUGAGCCAGCGAGACGGGAAAUUAGGAAUCGCUGCGAGCUCUCGUCGUCGAGGAGAGGCGCCCUCGUCAUCGCCCGCGCCAUUUCUCAUGGGAAAAAUACACUGCUAACUUAGAAAAAGCUGCGCGCGGAAGCGACUUGCUUUCGAAAACGCCCGAGUCAUCGCUCCGGUGAAUAAGUCUGACGACUCGAAUUAGCAAUACACAGCGCGUAUCCGCAUCGACUGCUGCGCGCGCCCUCGUAAUCCGAUUCGAGGAGUUUCUUUGAAAUUGGAUUAUUUGAACGCCGGCGCGGAUUCCUUUGAAUAAUCAGUGCAUUGACGGGUGUAUAACAAUUCCGCGGCGCCGAGUAAGUUUAUUUUCCUUUGCCGCUGGUUCAAUUAAACUGUUGCUGGGAGCGCCUGGGGGCAAAAUAGACGGAACGAAAAUGUGCUGCUAACUCUGUGGAAGUAAAUUUGAGCAAAAUAAACACGGAGGCUGAACCGAUGCUUUUUAACUCUGGCGAACUCUCGGCUAUCUGAGCUCUCUCUCUCUCUCACUCUCUCGUCGGGCACCACGUCGGGUAAACACGGUCCGCUGCAGCAGCGCGCAGAGAGAGGCUAAUUCGGUAUGGGCUUGCGGUCGCGAGUGACGGCUGCGCAUACGGCGAAGCAGCGGGAAAUCGAACGGAGCCGCCUGUAUACAUUACGCGGGGGAUAUUUCGGGAGAGCAAAGCAAGCUGCACUGGUGUCUGCCGAUAUUCUCGCGGAGGCGUCGCUCCCGGCUUGCGGAUGAAUGGCAGUCGUGAUUGGUCGCGCGGCUCCGAAUCAAAGGGCUAUUGCGCUCUGAUGCUGCGGCCCUAAUGCGAUGAGCGCGAGGAAAAGUGCGUCCCCGAGGCGAGCCGAUUGCGAGUUUUCAACUUGACAAAACGCAAAAUUUUUCCCGCCCGGCCUCCGAUUCGGCCGGCUGCAGGCAACUCGUAACAAGUUUAGCUAUAACCAGCAGCGCGCGAGUGAGAUGUACUUGGCUGCGCGCUUACAAUCAUUUGCGCGACUAAUUAAGAACUCGAGAUUAAAAUAGUUGAGCUGCGCCGGAGAGGUAAAAAUUGUUAAUCAACUGAAAGUCCUUGGAAAAGAAAAAUUCGAAAUACCUCCUGCGAACUUUGCUGGCACCACCGAAAGACGCUCUCUCACUCCGGCAGCGAAGAAGCAGAGAGGAGAGGCGCCGCGCGAUGGUGGGGGAGCUUUGCCUGCCGAAGCGAGACCGUAUCGAGAGAGAGAGAGAGAAAGCGAUCGCUCGUUCGUCCCUCGGUUUUUCGGUGCCAGAAGCUCCGCUCGCCCGGCUAAAUUGGAUCGGGCGGAUGUUCCGCGAGCGAUAGUUGAGCUAUUCCUUUUCGUCGUGGCGACCGAGGAAAGUUGGAACCUCUGCGUGAUUUUUCGCGAGACGCCGCUAAUUGAGCAGUUGGAGAAGUUGUUAGCAUAAUCAAGGAGGAGUUUCCGAGACCUUCCCAGACCGCGACCGCACACCCACACACGUCUAGUCUGCCUAGCCGGGACGGAGGGAGCUCAAAGGACGCUCGAGAGCUCGGCAUGGUAAACUACGGCUGCGCGAAAACGGGCAGCGGCGGCAUAGAGUGCUUCGUCGAGUUCAAGGAACGAGCGGACGAGUCGGGCGGCCAAGGCAUGGGCGCGAUGACGAGGUGCAUCGAGCUGAUGGCCGUCGUCGGCUCCUUCCUGCUGAUCCUCCUGACGAUGCCGUUCUCGCUCUGCGUCAUUUUCAAGGUCGUGCAGGAGUACGAGCGGGCCGUGGUCUUCCGGAUGGGCCGACUGAAGGCCGGACCGCAGGGACCGGGUAAGCAGCCUGCAUAUAUAUAUACAUAUAUAAUAUAAAAAUCUUGCAAAAAGCGCGCGCCCGUAAAUCACGUUCAUUCGAGGGGGGCGUGCACGUGCGCACAGUACGUGCGGUAGUGCUCGUCGUCGAAAGAAACGCCGCGUAAGCCAAUUGUGUCCCAGCGUGCAGCAGCCCACGUGUGUGUCGACAGGAACGUUCUUCGUGAUACCGUGCAUCGACAAUUGCGUGCGCGUCGAUUUACGGACGGUCUCGUUCGACGUGCCGCCGCAGGAGGUCCUCACCAAGGACUCCGUCACCGUCAGCGUAGACGCGGUCGUCUAUUAUCGCAUCAAGGAGCCCCUCAAUGCCGUCGUCAAGAUUGCCAACUACAGCCACUCGACCCGACUGCUGGCCGCGAGCACGCUGCGCACCGUCCUGGGCACCAGGAGCCUCGCCGAGAUCCUGGCCGAGCGCGAGACCAUCUCGCACACGAUGCAGGCGGCCCUCGACGAGGCCACCGAGCCCUGGGGCGUCAAGGUGGAGCGCGUCGAGAUCAAGGACGUGCGCCUGCCGGUGCAGCUGCAGCGCGCGAUGGCCGCCGAGGCGGAGGCGGCGCGCGAGGCCCGCGCCAAAGUCAUCGCCGCCGAGGGGGAGAUGCGCUCUUCUCGGGCCCUCAAGGAGGCCAGCGACGUCCUCUCCAUGAGCCCGGCAGCCCUUCAGCUCAGAUACCUGCAGACGCUGAACAACAUAUCGGCCGAGAAGAACUCGACCAUCAUCUUCCCGCUGCCCGUGGAGCUGUUCACGCCCUUCUUCUCGUCGUGGAACCGAUCGCGAGGAUGAACAACAGAGCGGCCUGGCCUGCUGCUGUACGAUCCAAUUCCAGCUUUGCAAUAAAACUUCCGCCCGAGCAUUUCGAA
RNA transcript from Nasonia vitripennis (jewel wasp), 6325 nucleotides. It is a transcript of the gene named band 7 protein AGAP004871-like, with no coding region annotated. NCBI's taxonomy places the organism in Eukaryota, Metazoa, Arthropoda, Insecta, Hymenoptera, Pteromalidae. The transcript has 6 exons. The record is from RefSeq and is a predicted model, not a curated record.